AAACACGGUCUCAGUUCAGAUUGCAGGCUGCAACUCGCCUGCAUGAAGUUGGAAUUGCUAGUAAUCGCGAAUCAGAAUGUCGCGGUGAAUACGUUCCCGGGCCUUGUACACACCGCCCGUCACACCAUGAGAGUCGAUAACACCCGAAGCCUGUGAGCUAACCGUAAGGAGGCAGCAGUCGAAGGUGGGGUUGAUGAUUGGGGUGAAGUCGUAACAAGGUACC
This 223-nucleotide ribosomal RNA is filed under the name uncultured bacterium. RNAcentral's name for it is "partial 16S ribosomal RNA". It matches the Rfam family "Bacterial small subunit ribosomal RNA", at positions 1278 to 1500 of the family's 1533-position model. The record is from RNAcentral.